UGUUGCUUUAUGAGUGGAAAU
RNAcentral lists this non-coding RNA (21 nucleotides) under Caenorhabditis elegans. Lineage: Eukaryota; Metazoa; Nematoda; Chromadorea; Rhabditida; Rhabditidae. The record is from RNAcentral.